Non-coding RNA from Rattus norvegicus (Norway rat), 2938 nucleotides. The record is from RefSeq and is a predicted model, not a curated record. Lineage: Eukaryota; Metazoa; Chordata; Mammalia; Rodentia; Muridae.
GUAGAGAGCGGCGCGGCGAAACAAAGAUGGCGCCGACAUCCAGCCUUGUCUGGAUAUAAACGACUUACUGCGCAUGUGCAGGCUUGUCCCCUUGCUAGGGCUCCCUCUAGUGGUGAACAGCGGUACUACACAUGUGCGGUUUAUGCACCAGGUGUCAGUUGACUGUUAAUAUGCUAAUGAGGUGAUUCAUUCUCCGCCAAUCCCUGGAGGACAAGUAGUGGGGUGAUCCAUGCCCCACCAAUCCCUGAGAGAUAAUUAGCAUACUGUUGUCUAUAUAAGUCGAGCGAUUUUGCUGCUCGGGGUCCCUGUUCAAGAGAGCUGUAACACUAAGAAGAGCUGUAACACAGUAAAGGCUUGCUCGCAGAAGAAUCCUGUUGCCGCUCGUCGUUCUUGCUGGCGGGACAUUGGGCGUGCGACAAGUGGUGCUGAAACCUGGGAACCAACAUCGCCGGUGCCGAGGGGACCCUUCAGUGUGCUGAAGAGGAUUCAGAACUGCGAGAAUAAUCAAGAAAAUCCAAUUUGGGUACCCGAGCGUUUGACUCGAAGAUUGUCUUCUGCUCUUCCUGAAGAUGAGACUACGAACCCUACUAUUACUACUGGGAAUGAACAAAGAAAUCUCGAAUUACCUGAAAGGAAACUGGUCCAUAAAAGCAGAGCAACUAUCAAGACAAUUGCUGAUACAGAUUGCUGUCCUCAACAGCACUAGGCUGGACCCCAUCACAGUUGAAGACUUUACCUCAUGGGUUACCAAUGCUUUCUCCCUUUUUAAGGAGUGGGCAGACAUGUUUGUUCCAGGGAGCUAUUGUCCUCCUGGGAUUCGGAGUAGGUCUCUGGCUUAUUGGCCGUUUAAAAAGAGAACAUGCCAGACACAAAGUGGUUGUUUACCAGGCUAUGACCACCAUUAAAAAGGGUACUUCUCCCAACAUAUGGCUGGCCUCUUUGAAAGAUUAAGAGUUCGCCCUAGAUCAUUUUUGUCACAGUCAUGUGGAGUCAUUAUAUCCAGGGACGGACAACUUUCCUCGAACUCGGACCAACCUAAGAAACGGGGCCCGGUGGCGAUAGGGUAACUCUAUGACGGGUAAGGCCGAGUUUAGAUGAGAACGACCUAAGACAGGAACAAUGACAAGAUUGACGUGACACCCAGAUCUAGACCAGUCAUUUUAUUAAACAAAAAAGGGGGAGAUGUAGAGAGCGGCGCGGCGAAACAAAGAUGGCGCCGACAUCCAGCCUUGUCUGGAUAUAAACGACUUACUGCGCAUGUGCAGGCUUGUCCCCUUGCUAGGGCUCCCUCUAGUGGUGAACAGCGGUACUACACAUGUGCGGUUUAUGCACCAGGUGUCAGUUGACCGUUAAUAUGCUAAUGAGGUGAUUCAUUCUCCGCCAAUCCCUGGAGGACAAGUAGUGGGGUGAUCCAUGCCCCACCAAUCCCUGAGAGAUAAUUAGCAUACUGUUGUCUAUAUAAGUCGAGCGAUUUUGCUGCUCGGGGUCACUGUUCAAGAGAGCUGUAACACUAAGAAGAGCUGUAACACAGUAAAGGCUUGCUCGCAGAAGAAUCCUGUUGCCGAGCGUCGUUCUUGCUGGCGGGACAUUGGGCGCGCGACAAGGAGGGAAUUCAUAUCUGGUAGUGUAAACCCAUAGCUAGAGUCAAGUCUGCCUGAGACACAACAACCUCAGGUGACUUCUGCAUUGUUCCAUAUACUCUAUUUUCUAUCUAAUGGUCCCAAGAAGCUUGAAGGACGCCAAGUGUAUCUUGCUUCCACAUGGAAGCCUUUGGGGGACCUCAAGUCUAAUCAGCUUAGAACUCUGCUCCACCGAUCCAAACCCACUCUGGUCCACCUGGGACACGGCAGGGAGAGGUGAGUUGUGCAUGGUUCCAUGAACUCUAGUGUCCAGCUUUAGGUUCGCUCUUUGGUGCCAAGGAGCUUUGCAGGACCCCCAGGAGCAUCCUGGGACCCCAAGACUAAUCACCUUGAACCCUGUUCCACCAGUCCCAUUCUAGUCGGGUUUGCCCAGGACAUGGCCAGCCAAGGUGAGUUGUGCAUGGUCCGAUGAACUCCGUUGUCUAGCUCUGGGCUUGCUCUGUGAUCCUGAGGAAGCUUUCAAGACCCAGAAACAUCCUGCUUCCCCAGAGAGGGCUAUGGAGACCCCCAAGAACUACCAUUUUGGAGCACUGCCCCAUCAAUCCCUUGACAGAGGGGUCUGUCUGAGACGCAGCCACCAGAGUUGGAUAUCCUGACCUCCAAUAUUGGCCCAAGGCUCCCCUCACCUUUCCGAGAAGUCUUGCUGUCAUCAGGAUCAUUCAGCCAACACUAGGGAAAACCCAAUGCCUAAAGAAUAGCACAGAACACAAUCAAUGAGACGCAGGGCAAAAUGGAACCACCAGAGCCCAGCUAUCCUGCUACACAAAACCAUGGAUAUCCUAAUGAAACUGAAGCACAAGAAGAUAAUUUUAAAUCCAAACUUAUAGAUAUGACAGAGGUCUUUAAAGAGGAAAUGGAUAAAUCUCUUAAAGAAAUACAGGAAAAUAUUUCCAAAAGGGUAGAGGCAUUUAAAAAGGAGGCAAAUAAAUAUAAAUACAGGAAAAGACAAUCAAACAGGCGAAGGAUAUAACUAAAAUGUUCAAGAACUGAAAAGGUAAAUCAAAGCAAUAAAGAAAACACAAACCGAGGCAAUCCUGGUGUGAUGACUUGAAUAUUCUUGGCCCAGGGAGCGGCACUAUUUGAAGGUGUGGCCUUGUUGGAGUAGAUGUGUCCCUCUGAGCAUGGGCUUUAUGACCCUCAUCCUAGCACCUGGAAGCCAAUCUUCUCCUAUUUGCUUUCAGAACAAGAUGUAGAACUCUCAGCUUCUCCUGUGCCAUGCCUGCCUGGACACUGCUAUGCUCCCACCUUGAUAAUGGACUGAACCUCUGAACCUGCAAGCCAGCCCCAAUUAAAUGUUG